GGGGGCGUGUUGGUUUCGACAGGUGAAGGAUUUAUUAUUAUGCAUGUCGCUUGGUUCGCGUUAAAAAACCAACUUAAAAAUAAAUGCAGAAAAAAAUGCGAAAGUUAACAAUUAUGCUCUUAGCAACAAUGCUAUGUAUGCAUAUGCGUAAUCUAUCUUGGUUAGAUAUAAAAUAAACUGGUUUUGACUAAUUUCGAUUGGUUGCAGUGGUCAAAGUCUAAAAAGUACCAAUCAACCUUAUAGCAAUGCCCAGUGCUAUAUUGAAAAUAUGGGCUGGCUGCAAAAAAAUUUGUUAUUUAAAAAAUUUUUGCGGUAACUAUUGAAAAAUAACUAAACAUGUAGUAUAAUAAUAAUGGAAUCAUUUGGACAUGGGUUCAAAUCCCAUCGCUUCCACCA
Molecule: transfer-messenger RNA, 396 nt
Filed under: bovine gut metagenome
Rfam family: transfer-messenger RNA
About the family: Bacterial tmRNA, also known as 10Sa RNA or SsrA, is named for its dual tRNA and mRNA-like properties. Its role is to liberate the mRNA from a stalled ribosome.
Source: RNAcentral